RNAcentral lists this transfer RNA (69 nucleotides) under Sphaerodactylus nigropunctatus. RNAcentral describes it as "tRNA-Ala". Lineage: Eukaryota; Metazoa; Chordata; Lepidosauria; Squamata; Sphaerodactylidae. The record is from RNAcentral.
GAGGCCUUAGCUUAAUUAAAGUAGUUGAGUUGCAGUCAGAAGAUGUAUGUUAAGGGCGUACAGGUCUUG